Molecule: ribosomal RNA, 253 nt
Filed under: uncultured bacterium
Lineage: Bacteria
Description: partial 16S ribosomal RNA
Rfam family: Bacterial small subunit ribosomal RNA
Source: RNAcentral
UACGUAGGGUGCAAGCGUUGUCCGGAAUUAUUGGGCGUAAAGAGCUCGUAGGCGGUCUGUCACGUCGGAUGUGAAAACUCGGGGCUCAACCCCGAGCCUGCAUACGAUACGGGCAGACUUGAGUUCGGCAGGGGAGACUGGAAUUUCCGGUGUAGCGGUGAAAUGCGUAGAUAUCGGAAGGAACACCCGUGGCGAAGGCGGCUUCCUGGCUUCAGACUGACGCUGAGGUGCGAAAGCGUGGGUAGCGAACAGG